This 45-nucleotide non-coding RNA is filed under the name Schistosoma curassoni. Lineage: Eukaryota; Metazoa; Platyhelminthes; Trematoda; Strigeidida; Schistosomatidae. The record is from RNAcentral.
AUCCAUCUGAUGAGUUCAAAAUGGGACUAAACGCGCGUCCUGGAU